CUUCCCUCAUCAAGAACAGUGAUGCCAGAGUAGUCCAUCUGGUGUGUCCGGCUGCAGGCUGGUACCUAGAACCUGAGGCAAGCUGGAGAGAUCCCUAAGGACAGAAUUUAAAGCCACACUCUGAAAAUACCAGAGCAGAUGGAAACAGCAUGUUCUCCAAUGAGUCUUUAGUUCUGGUUAACUGUGAUCUUUUUGGUCCUCAACCCCAGACUCAACCAGAAGAAGGAAAUGAUUAUUUCUAUUGGCAGAAAUAAUAAUAUGGAUAAUUUUGAGUAUUAUUUUAACUGUGGUCUGCAUUUCCAUGGUUGUUUUCUUCAUUGCGGUACAAGGAAGAUCUAAAUACUUCAGCAUGGUUUGGGAGACCUCCUGGCUUCCAUCCUGUUAAUCAUUCAGCUUUCAGUCUGCAAACUUGAGAUGAGGGAUCCCACCAUUGGAA
Cervus elaphus (red deer) is the source of this 436-nucleotide long non-coding RNA. RefSeq lists it as uncharacterized. The record is from RefSeq and is a predicted model, not a curated record. Lineage: Eukaryota; Metazoa; Chordata; Mammalia; Artiodactyla; Cervidae. The transcript is spliced from 3 exons.